ACCACAGCCAUAUCACCCUGCAGCCCAAGACUGGUUGCCCACUGAAGCUAAGCAGGGUUGAGCCUGGUCAGUACCUGGAUGGGAGACCUCCUGGGAAAACUAGGUUGCUGCUGGAA
RNAcentral lists this ribosomal RNA (116 nucleotides) under Sinocyclocheilus anshuiensis. The record is from RNAcentral. Lineage: Eukaryota; Metazoa; Chordata; Actinopteri; Cypriniformes; Cyprinidae.